This 94-nucleotide transfer RNA is filed under the name Salmonella phage F1055. RNAcentral describes it as "tRNA-Ser". It matches the Rfam family "tRNA". From Rfam's summary of the family: Transfer RNA (tRNA) molecules are approximately 80 nucleotides in length. The record is from RNAcentral. Lineage: Duplodnaviria; Heunggongvirae; Uroviricota; Caudoviricetes.
AGAUAAGUUAAUGUUAAAUAAGAAUAUUGGGACGGUCUCGAAAACCGUUGCGGGGGUAACUCCGCCGAGGGUUCGAAUCCCUCUCUCUCCGCCA